Molecule: ribosomal RNA, 497 nt
Filed under: uncultured bacterium
Lineage: Bacteria
Description: partial 16S ribosomal RNA
Rfam family: Bacterial small subunit ribosomal RNA
Source: RNAcentral
GAUGAACGCUGGCGGCGUGCCUAAUACAUGCAAGUCGAGCGAACGGACGAGAAGCUUGCUUCUCUGAUGUUAGCGGCGGACGGGUGAGUAACACGUGGAUAACCUACCUAUAAGACUGGGAUAACUUCGGGAAACCGGAGCUAAUACCGGAUAAUAUUUUGAACCGCAUGGUUCAAAAGUAAAAGACGGUCUUGCUGUCACUUAUAGAUGGAUCCGCGCUGCAUUAGCUAGUUGGUAAGGUAACGGCUUACCAAGGCAACGAUGCAUAGCCGACCUGAGAGGGUGAUCGGCCACACUGGAACUGAGACACGGUCCAGACUCCUACAGGAGGCAGCAGUAGGGAAUCUUCCGCAAUGGGCGAAAGCCUGACGGAGCAACGCCGCGUGAGUGAUGAAGGUCUUCGGAUCGUAAAACUCUGUUAUUAGGGAAGAACAUAUGUGUAAGUAACUGUGCACAUCUUGACGGUACCUAAUCAGAAAGCCACGGCUAACUACGUG